GUUGGUGGAUUUGACUCUACCACUCCUCCAAACGUCGCCGUUUCUUUAUACCUUCUUUCUCCCUGAAUACUCCCACAUCCUCCUCCUCCUCCUCCGUUAACACUCUCCGGCAAAGAAAACGUCGACGUCAAAGAUGAUGACGUCGACGACGUUGAAUUCGAGAGCAUCGACUUCGCCACCAAACCCGUCUCGUAACUACCAAACUGUCCUUGCGUCAUAGGAACAAUCCACCCAUCCGGUGAAUGAUUCCGGUAAAGAUUCUCCGUUGAUGACGGCGACGGUGUUGAUGAUGACAUAACCCUAAAGACCCUCCCUUCAUCUUCUUCCACUUCUUCUUCCUCUGACUUCACCGUCGACAUCGUGACACGACGCUUCUUCUUGUCGGAAACUUGUUGUUGUUGCUUUGUCCGUUCUUUCUCGAGCAUCAUUCUUGGAAGAAGAUCAGGAUCUUCAACGACUUUGUAAAGAAACGCCAUCAUCUGCUCCGGUCUCUUCUCCGUCGCUUCGAUCCUCCGGUUCAUCCUCUGAAUCUCUGCCUCUAGCUCCCUCUGCUCUUCUUUUAACCGUUCGAUCUCCCUCACAAUCUCACCGUCCUCCAAAUCUUGACCGUACAUCCCCCGCGCGUGUUUCCUACGCGCUAUGUUAUUCAACAAAUGCUUCUGUCCCCUUAGAAAAUGCUCGUUCGCAAACUCCCACCGGUCCGGAUCCACUUUCCUAAACCCCUAAAGUAAAUAAAGAAAGGAUCAUUAGUUCGUAAUCCCCUGUUUCCAGUUUCAUGUAAGAUUCGUUGCGAGAAGUCGAGUGGAUCAACGACUAUGAAACUGUUGUGAGCAGGUCCCCAAGUGAUGAGCCAAUCGGUGGAAGGAUCAUUGACCAUCUGAUAUGUUUUCACGAUGAAAGAAAUUAAAGAGGAGCCUGGAGGGUUUAUAUAAAGAUAGGAAAAUGAGAUGUGAAAAUAGUAAGUUAAGUGUAGUUGACAGUGAGACUAUAUUGACGUGGCUUGCUUUUUGUGAUAACGUGGCGGGUUCGUGUUUUGCCUUUUACGGUGUCACGAGUGAACUGUGGGACCUAUGCAGGUGCCACAAAGCCUUAGGUCAAUUAGCUUUUCUUAGAUGGCAAGUUAUUAGUCCGAGCCGUUGUGUAUUUGUGUGAGAUGUUUUCAAGAGACGACGAGCGUGUGGGUGCUUGGAUACUGACAUGGUCCGCACUGGUUAGUGACGGAGGAACUCAGGAACAAGUACUGAUUCGACACGUUGCGUAGAAUCUUUUUUGUUGGCGAUGCACACUCCACUAAUCGAGUAUUUUUGUAUUUAUGGAAAGUUUAUUCAUUAUACGUUGCUUAAUUCAGAUUUGUUUUCAUUUAUUCAAAUCAAAACAAAUAUAAGAAGGAGUGAUUCAAAGAUCACAAAGUUUAAAACAUAAUUAAAAGAGGCAUUCCCCAAAACCAAGAUAUGAUAGAUAAUGUGAAACGACAUAAAAUUCAUGAGAGCUUUGAGCCACAAACUAUAAGGCAUGAUGGCACAUGUGAGGUCACGGGUAGUCGAAGGAUCUUCCACGAACGAAUCAAUGGACAACAAAUUGGUCACUGUCAAGAGACGAGAUGACGUUGAAUAAGGUUCCAAGGCCGAUGUUCUCGCCGACACGAGAAGGAGAAACUGGAGUUGUUCAUCGCCGAGGAGGUGGGUAACGAUGGGUGUAAGGUCAAGAAGGUUGAAGAAGCUUCGGUAAUCAUCACUCCAUGGAGACGAGAUCAUAAUGCCGUUCUUUCCCAAGCUUUGAAGAUCAUGAAUACUAAACUUAAUAAUGUUGAAUCGCUUUUGCUUGAAUUCAGUAAUCAGAGGAUAGGAGUGGGAAAGGUUGAAGAAGCGUUGGUAAUCACCGCUCCUUGGAGACGUGA
Molecule: long non-coding RNA, 1897 nt
Filed under: Arabidopsis thaliana (thale cress)
Lineage: Eukaryota; Viridiplantae; Streptophyta; Magnoliopsida; Brassicales; Brassicaceae
Description: potential natural antisense gene, locus overlaps with AT3G24520 (AT3G24518)
Source: RNAcentral